AAUACGUGUUAAAGGAUGCUGGUAUAAAUACUGAGGUUUACAGUGCACACAGUACUAGAACUGCAUCAACUUCUACGGCAAACACAUUGAAUAUUUCUAUGGACACUAUUAUGAAUGCAGCUACAUGGCGUAAUGAACAAACUUUUCAAACAUUUUAUAAUAAACCAAUUGAGGCGAAGAACUUUGGCAAUGAUCUACUUUCUGCCAUUUGUGAGACUUGAAAUGUGAAAUUUCAAUUAUAUUCUUUUGUUAUUAGUUAUUGCUCAUGUCCACAUUGCUUUAAAAUCUCACAUGACUUCCUAGUGACGUAGAACAGUGACGAAAUAGAAUUAGAAAAUUAAACGAGACUUACCUGAAGUCGAAGUUUGAUUGAAAUUCUAUGAGUUACUGUUCAGGAACUAGGAAGUCACCCACCCAACUACUAACUUACUUCUUUUCAAAUGAUGUUAAAUACUACUUGCCUCCCAAUAUCUAUGUGGACGUUCGCAAAUUUUUAAAAACUGAUCUUGAUAUCGCGCGCUCUAUCUCACAUGACUUCCUAGUUCCUGAACAGUAACUCAUAGAAUUUCAAUCAAACUUCGACUUCAGAGGGGUCAGUUAUGGUAGCCACUUCAGGCAAAAAUCAACAUCGAAUGCGGAAGCAGUCAAGACAAGAUGUCUCAUUGAAGACUGUCAAUUCUUCGGCAUCCCAGAGAAUGAUAACUUGUGUUCACAAUGUUAUGCAAAGGCAUUGCAACUUGAUUAUGACUUAGAGUCUGAGAAGAAGAUCAAAAUUGAAGAAGAAAGAGCUAGAAAGAAAUGGCAAAUAGCACAACAGCAAAAGAAUACAAAUCAUGACUUGCACAGGCUUUAUUAUGUAAAUGAACCCCACUAUUAUCAGGUUGUGGAUGUUUUGGUACAGAAGAAGAUCAGGGUCUUUGUCAUAAAUGUUUAAAGAAGAAAGAAAUGCUUUUCUUAGAAUAGACAGUUGGUGUGAACAGUUUUCAACAAAUUUUGUUUCAAUGAACAAGAAAUAUUGUCAUUCUAUAAGGUUUAAAUCUUCAUAUCUAAAGAACUGUAUUGAUAUUAGUAAUAAAGUAAUAUAUUCGCUUCCUUA
RNA transcript from Xenia sp. Carnegie-2017, 1096 nucleotides. RefSeq lists it as uncharacterized. NCBI's taxonomy places the organism in Eukaryota, Metazoa, Cnidaria, Anthozoa, Malacalcyonacea, Xeniidae. The record is from RefSeq and is a predicted model, not a curated record. The transcript is spliced from 3 exons.